RNAcentral lists this ribosomal RNA (689 nucleotides) under uncultured bacterium. RNAcentral describes it as "bacterial SSU rRNA". It matches the Rfam family "Bacterial small subunit ribosomal RNA", at positions 115 to 823 of the family's 1533-position model. The record is from RNAcentral.
GCGUGGGUAACCUGGCCCAUACAGGGGGAUAACACUUAGAAAUAGGUGCUAAUACCGCAUAACAACAGAAAGCGCAUGCUUUUUGUUUGAAAACCAAGGUGGUAUGGGAUGGACCCGCGUCUGAUUAGCUGGUUGGCGGGGUAAAGGCCCACCAAGGCGACGAUCAGUAGCCGGCCUGAGAGGGUGGACGGCCACAUUGGGACUGAGACACGGCCCAAACUCCUACGGGAGGCAGCAGUGGGGAAUAUUGCACAAUGGGGGAAACCCUGAUGCAGCGACGCCGCGUGAGUGAAGAAGUAAUUCGUUAUGUAAAGCUCUAUCAGCAGGGAAGAAAAUGACGGUACCUGAGUAAGAAGCCCCGGCUAACUACGUGCCAGCAGCCGCGGUAAUACGUAGGGGGCAAGCGUUAUCCGGAUUUACUGGGUGUAAAGGGAGCGUAGACGGCAGUGCAAGUCUGGAGUGAAAGGCGGGGGCUCAACCCCCGGACUGCUUUGGAAACUGUAUGGCUGGAGUGCAGGAGAGGUAAGUGGAAUUCCUGGUGUAGCGGUGAAAUGCGUAGAUAUCAGGAGGAACACCAGUGGCGAAGGCGGCUUACUGGACUGUAACUGACGUUGAGGCUCGAAAGCGUGGGGAGCAAACAGGAUUCGAUACCCUGGUAGUCCACGCCGUAAACGAUGAUCACCAGGUGU